AACGAACGCUGGCGGCAUGCCUAAUACAUGCAAGUCGAACGAGAUCUUCGGAUCUAGUGGCGCACGGGUGCGUAACGCGUGGGAAUCUGCCCUUGGGUUCGGAAUAACUUCUGGAAACGGAAGCUAAUACCGGAUGAUGACGUAAGUCCCAAGAUUUAUCGCCCAAGGAUGAGCCCGCGUAGGAUUAGGUAGUUGGUGAGGUAAAGGCUCACCAAGCCGACGAUCCUUAGCUGGUCUGAGAGGAUGAUCAGCCACACUGGGACUGAGACACGGCCCAGACUCCUACGGGAGGCAGCAGUAGGGAAUAUUGGACAAUGGGCGAAAGCCUGAUCCAGCAAUGCCGCGUGAGUGAUGAAGGCCUUAGGGUUGUAAAGCUCUUUUACCCGGGAUGAUAAUGACAGUACCGGGAGAAUAAGCUCCGGCUAACUCCGUG
Molecule: ribosomal RNA, 433 nt
Filed under: uncultured bacterium
Lineage: Bacteria
Description: partial 16S ribosomal RNA
Rfam family: Bacterial small subunit ribosomal RNA
Source: RNAcentral